This 253-nucleotide ribosomal RNA is filed under the name uncultured bacterium. Its description in RNAcentral is "partial 16S ribosomal RNA". It matches the Rfam family "Bacterial small subunit ribosomal RNA", at positions 524 to 776 of the family's 1533-position model. The record is from RNAcentral.
UACGUACCGUCCAAACGUUAUUCGGAUUUACUGGGCUUAAAGGGUGCGUAGGCGGCUCAGAAAGUAGGGUGUGAAAGCCCUCGGCUUAACCGAGGAAUUGCGCCCUAAACUACUGGGCUUGAGGGAGACAGAGGUAAGCGGAACUUACGGUGGAGCGGUGAAAUGCGUUGAUAUCGUAAGGAACACCAGGAGCGAAAGCGGCUUACUGGGUCUCUUCUGACGCUGAGGCACGAAAGCUAGGGGAGCGAACGGG